GAUAGCCAUGCUAGUCGCACGAGUUCAGACUCGUGGCGAAUAGCUCAGUAACACGUGGCCAAACUACCCUUCGGAACACAAUACCCUCGGGAAACUGAGGCUAAUAGUGUAUACCAUACCACCACUGGAAUGAGUGGUAUGCCAAACGCUCCGGCGCCGAAGGAUGUGGCUGCGGCCGAUUAGGUAGACGGUGGGGUAACGGCCCACCGUGCCAAUAAUCGGUAUGGGUCAUGAGAGUGAGAACCCAGAGACGGAAUCUGAGACAAGAUUCCGGGCCCUACGGGGCGCAGCAGGCGCGAAACCUUUACACUGCACGACAGUGCGAUAGGGGGAUCCCAAGUGCACAGGCAUAGCGCCUGUGCUUUUCGGUACCCUAAGGCGGUACCAGAAUAAGGGCUGGGCAAGACCGGUGCCAGCCGCCGCGGUAAUACCGGCAGCCCAAGUGAUGGCCGAUCUUAUUGGGCCUAAAGCGUCCGUAGCUGGCCGCGCAAGUCCAUCGGGAAAUCCACCUGCUCAACAGGUGGGCGCCCGGUAGAAACUGCGUGGCUUGGGACCGGAAGGCGCGACGGGUACGUCCGGGGUAGGAGUGAAAUCCCGUAAUCCUGGACGGACCGCCGAUGGCGAAAGCACGUCGCGAGAACGGAUCCGACAGUGAGGGACGAAAGCCAGGGUCUCGAACCGGAUUAGAUA
This 690-nucleotide ribosomal RNA is filed under the name Halorubrum sp. I.B30. RNAcentral's name for it is "bacterial SSU rRNA". It matches the Rfam family "Archaeal small subunit ribosomal RNA", at positions 44 to 735 of the family's 1478-position model. Lineage: Archaea; Methanobacteriati; Methanobacteriota; Halobacteria; Halobacteriales; Haloferacaceae. The record is from RNAcentral.